This 468-nucleotide ribosomal RNA is filed under the name uncultured bacterium. Its description in RNAcentral is "partial 16S ribosomal RNA". It matches the Rfam family "Bacterial small subunit ribosomal RNA", at positions 28 to 507 of the family's 1533-position model. The record is from RNAcentral.
GACGAACGCUGGCGGCGUGCUUAACACAUGCAAGUCGAACGGAAAGGCCCUGCUUUUGUGGGGUGCUCGAGUGGCGAACGGGUGAGUAACACGUGAGUAACCUGCCCUUUACUUUGGGAUAACUUCAGGAAACUGGGGCUAAUACCGGAUAGGAGCUCCUGCUGCAUGGUGGGGGUUGGAAAGUUUCGGCGGUUGGGGAUGGACUCGCGGCUUAUCAGCUUGUUGGUGGGGUAGUGGCUUACCAAGGCUUUGACGGGUAGCCGGCCUGAGAGGGUGACCGGACAGGUUGGGACUGAGAUACGGCCCAGACUACUACGGGAGGCAGCAGUGGGAAAUAUUGCACAAUGGGCGGAAGCCUGAUGCAGCAACGCCGCGUGCGGGAUGACGGCCUUCGGGUUGUAAACCGCUUUCGCCUGUGACGAAGCGUGAGUGACGGUAAUGGGUAAAGAAGCACCGGCUAACUACGUG